AAAACUUAACAGGGGAGCUCCUGUUAGGGGCUGAGAAAGGGCUAGUGAGCACCUGACCCGUUGACCUGAUCAGGGUAAUGCCUGCGGAGGGAGAGUGAACGUUUACAACCG
RNAcentral lists this non-coding RNA (111 nucleotides) under Neomoorella glycerini. Its description in RNAcentral is "Moorella glycerini TPP sequence". It matches the Rfam family "TPP riboswitch aptamer (THI element)". Rfam says of the family: Vitamin B(1) in its active form thiamin pyrophosphate (TPP) is an essential coenzyme that is synthesised by coupling of pyrimidine and thiazole moieties in bacteria. The previously detected thiamin-regulatory element, thi box was extended, resulting in a new, highly conserved RNA secondary structure, the THI element, which is widely distributed in eubacteria and also occurs in some archaea. Analysis of operon structures identified a large number of new candidate thiamin-regulated genes, mostly transporters, in various prokaryotic organisms. The record is from RNAcentral. Lineage: Bacteria; Bacillati; Bacillota; Clostridia; Neomoorellales; Neomoorellaceae.